Molecule: transfer RNA, 373 nt
Filed under: Leuconostoc pseudomesenteroides
Lineage: Bacteria; Bacillati; Bacillota; Bacilli; Lactobacillales; Lactobacillaceae
Description: partial 16S-23S ribosomal RNA intergenic spacer
Rfam family: tRNA (bases 112-184)
Source: RNAcentral
AAGGAUAAUCGGAAAGCGACAGUGACUUAGAUGUCAGUUCGUGAAGUUCAAAGUUUUGUUUAGUUUUGAGUGUGAUACUGAAAUAGGUAUCAUGUUCAGAAGUGAUCCUAUGGGGAAUUAGCUCAGCUGGGAGAGCACCUGCUUUGCAAGCAGGGGGUCAGCGGUUCGAUCCCGCUAUUCUCCAUAGCUAGUCGCAAGACUAGCGAGUUGCACAUUGAAAACUGAAUAGUAACAAAUUCUUUUAAAAACAAUCGUAAGAUUGUAAUAAAUGAACCGAGAAACAACACAAAAAAGUUCUUUAAUAAAGAACGGUUUAAUCGCAGGUCUGAGAAAUGACCAACUCAUAAACUUAAACAACAGUUUCGGCUGUUAG